Molecule: signal recognition particle RNA, 190 nt
Rfam family: Bacterial large signal recognition particle RNA
About the family: The signal recognition particle (SRP) is a universally conserved ribonucleoprotein involved in the co-translational targeting of proteins to membranes. Archaeal SRP consists of a 7S RNA and homologues of the eukaryotic SRP19 and SRP54 proteins. In most bacteria, the SRP consists of a 4.5S RNA and the Ffh protein (a homologue of the eukaryotic SRP54 protein).
CUGCAAACUGCAUAUGAUAUAAUGGCUCCACAAUACAAGACGCCGUGUCUGAUCUGCAGCCGAUCGUUGGUCCUGUGCGAUGCGGCCCGUGAACCCCGUCAGGUCCGGAAGGAAGCAGCGGUAAGCGGUCACCCGCAGGUGCCGCAGGGUAACCUGCGUCGGUUGCAGAUCAGGCAUGGCGAUUUUUCAG